AUUGAACGCUGGCGGCAGGCCUAACACAUGCAAGUCGAACGGUAACAGGAAACAGCUUGCUGUUUCGCUGACGAGUGGCGGACGGGUGAGUAAUGUCUGGGAAACUGCCUGAUGGAGGGGGAUAACUACUGGAAACGGUAGCUAAUACCGCAUAACGUCGCAAGACCAAAGAGGGGGACCUUCGGGCCUCUUGCCAUCGGAUGAGCCCAGAUGGGAUUAGCUUGUUGGUGGGGUAACGGCUCACCAAGGCGACGAUCCCUAGCUGGUCUGAGAGGAUGACCAGCCACACUGGAACUGAGACACGGUCCAGACUCCUACGGGAGGCAGCAGUGGGGAAUAUUGCACAAUGGGCGCAAGCCUGAUACAGCCAUGCCGCGUGUAUGAAGAAGGCCUUCGGGUUGUAAAGUACUUUCAGCGGGGAGGAAGGGAGUAAAGUUAAUACCUUUACUCAUUGACGUUACCCGCAGAAGAAGCACCGGCUAACUCCGUGCCAGCAGCCGCCGUAA
This 506-nucleotide ribosomal RNA is filed under the name uncultured bacterium. RNAcentral's name for it is "partial 16S ribosomal RNA". It matches the Rfam family "Bacterial small subunit ribosomal RNA", at positions 30 to 523 of the family's 1533-position model. The record is from RNAcentral.